This 253-nucleotide ribosomal RNA is filed under the name uncultured bacterium. RNAcentral's name for it is "partial 16S ribosomal RNA". It matches the Rfam family "Bacterial small subunit ribosomal RNA", at positions 524 to 776 of the family's 1533-position model. The record is from RNAcentral.
UACAGAGGUCUCAAGCGUUGUUCGGAUUCAUUGGGCGUAAAGGGUGUGUAGGUGGCGCGCUAAGUCGGGUGUGAAAUUUCGGAGCUUAACUCCGAAACUGCAUUCGAUACUGGCGUGCUUGAGGACUGGAGAGGAGACUGGAAUUCAUGGUGUAGCAGUGAAAUGCGUAGAGAUCGUAAGGAAGACCAGUGGCGACGGCGGGUCUCUGGACAGUUCCUGACACUGAGGCACGAAGGCCAGGGGAGCAAACGGG